This 302-nucleotide unclassified non-coding RNA is filed under the name uncultured Glomeraceae. RNAcentral describes it as "sequence contains ITS2". Lineage: Eukaryota; Fungi; Glomeromycota; Glomeromycetes; Glomerales; Glomeraceae. The record is from RNAcentral.
AACGCAAAUUGCACUCUCUGGCAACCCGGGGAGUAUGCCUGUUUGAGGGUCAGUGUUAAUAAAAAUCGGUGCGUCGCAAUUUUUUUGUGAUGUUUCCGGAGUUUGAGUUAUCUUAACUCUUCUGGGUUUUUAAGAGGCUUAAAAUUGACCUUUUUUUGUGCAUUUUAGACGUACAUAAAUUUUUUUUUAUUCGUCUAUCUUAAUGCCAAAAUCUAUUAGAUGCGACCAUAUCGUGUGGUUCUGUGUCUAUAAAUUUUUCAUGAUUUGACCUCAAAUCAGGUAGGAACACCCGCUGAACUUAA